RNAcentral lists this long non-coding RNA (189 nucleotides) under Oryza sativa tropical japonica subgroup. Its description in RNAcentral is "lncRNA OsKeNa_03g0004590". Lineage: Eukaryota; Viridiplantae; Streptophyta; Magnoliopsida; Poales; Poaceae. The record is from RNAcentral.
UCUCGGCGCCUCGGCGGUGCCCGCGCAGCGAUCGAGGGGAAAUUCCUGAGAGUGUGGGCGAAGGGGAAGCCUCGAAGUGCAAAGCCGCCCCUGCUUGCACGCGAUGUGUUCGGUGAAAUGCCUCUGGGACGCACAGGGGAGAGACUAGAGAGGGACCCUCACCCUGAGCUCAUUGAGGUGGCCAAAUAG